AUUUGGUGAUGUGGGCAUUUAGCAAGUAAAGCUAUGAACCUUGUCCAAUAUUCAUAGAGACUUUCUCUAAUCCCUUGUUGAACACUACAAAUUUCCUUUCUCAUCCU
This is a small nucleolar RNA of Neltuma alba, 107 nucleotides long. Lineage: Eukaryota; Viridiplantae; Streptophyta; Magnoliopsida; Fabales; Fabaceae. The record is from RefSeq and is a predicted model, not a curated record.